GUCUUCUUCUCGUCCGCGGAAUCAAGCGCCGCCCCUCCUAGCCGUCCCAGGCCACCGGACACAUCGACUUCUCAUCGACAAGGUAGAGGAGGACGGCCACAGGGAGGAUGGUUGAAAACAGGUUGGUCAUGAGGAGCUGCUCACGUCGCCGUCCGGAGUGGGGAGCCGGGAGUGGGCGCACAAGACGAGUAGGCCAUCCAGUCCAGUCUCGAGCUCGUCGUCCAGCCCCGUGAAAGAGCUCUGUCACGGGCAAGGGCGAGGCUUCUUGAACAACAGGCACUUCCGGCCUCGACGUUCUUGUUUCGAUCCUGGCCGGCCAAGCGCGAGCACUUCUCCCGAUUCAGAAUAAACUCUAGAUGGGGAUCGAUGUGGUAAUCUUGAUCUUCAGCCUGCUGCCAGCCCUAACCUACGGUGACACGGAAAUGGAAGCAAGUAGGCGUCCACCUAGGCGCUUCAGUCCAUGAACGCCCAGCUGCAAAGCCACCGUCUCCCAUCGGCUUCUCGCUCUAGGGCUCGAGGCCUGCAAUGACUUGCUGCCGACAACGGGUCGCUGACGCGGACCAAGAGUCGCCUUCCAGGCCCUCCACCAGCACGUCGCAGCAACCCCCUCAAUUCCGGUUAUGCUCCACCGAGAGCAAUACCACCACAGUACAAGAAGAUAUACGGGGAUAAAUCUUUGCCAGUGGCAGCGGUGGCCUCUUCUUGGUCUUAAUGUUGUAGCAUUUAUCCUCUGUCCAAGUAAGAAGAACAGAUCAAGCGCCACCAUGGUGCUGUCAUUGUGGAGCGCUGAGUACGCAAGCCCUGCCGUGGCACCGUACGAGCCGAGCUUCUU
Long non-coding RNA from Lolium rigidum, 832 nucleotides. RefSeq lists it as uncharacterized. The transcript is spliced from 6 exons. The record is from RefSeq and is a predicted model, not a curated record. Lineage: Eukaryota; Viridiplantae; Streptophyta; Magnoliopsida; Poales; Poaceae.